Molecule: transfer RNA, 74 nt
Filed under: Dryococelus australis
Lineage: Eukaryota; Metazoa; Arthropoda; Insecta; Phasmatodea; Phasmatidae
Description: tRNA-OTHER
Rfam family: tRNA
About the family: Transfer RNA (tRNA) molecules are approximately 80 nucleotides in length. Their secondary structure includes four short double-helical elements and three loops (D, anti-codon, and T loops). Further hydrogen bonds mediate the characteristic L-shaped molecular structure. tRNAs have two regions of fundamental functional importance: the anti-codon, which is responsible for specific mRNA codon recognition, and the 3' end, to which the tRNAs corresponding amino acid is attached (by aminoacyl-tRNA synthetases). tRNAs cope with the degeneracy of the genetic code in two manners: having more than one tRNA (with a specific anti-codon) for a particular amino acid; and 'wobble' base-pairing, i.e. permitting non-standard base-pairing at the 3rd anti-codon position.
Source: RNAcentral
GCUUUUCUUUAGCUCAGUGGCAGAGCAUUGGUUUUGUAAACCAGCGGUCGUGAGUUCAAUCCUCACAGGAGGCA